GAAACGACUGCUAAGACUGGAUAGGAAACAAAAAGGCAUCUUUUUGUUUUUAAAAGACCUUCUUAUGAAGGUAUGCUUAAAGAGGGGCUUGCGCCACAUUAGUUAGUUGGUAGGGUAAAAGCCUACCAAGACGAUGAUGUGUAGCUGGACUGAGAGGUUGAACAGCCACAUUGGGACUGAGACACGGCCCAAACUCCUACGGGAGGCAGCAGUAGGGAAUUUUCGGCAAUGGAGGAAACUCUGACCGAGCAACGCCGCGUGAACGAUGAAGUAUUUCGGUAUGUAAAGUUCUUUUAUUGAAGAAGAAAAAGUAGUGGAAAAACUAUAUUGACGUUAUUCAAUGAAUAAGCCCCGGCUAACUAUGUGCCAGCAGCCGCGGUAAGACAUAGGGGGCGAGCGUUAUCCGGAAUUAUUGGGCGUAAAGGGUGCGUAGGCUGUUAGAUAAGUCUAUAAUUUAAUUUCAGUGCUUAACGCUGUCUUGUUAUAGAAACUGUCUUGACUAGAGUGAGAUAGAGGCAAGCGGAAUUCCAUGUGUAGCGGUAAAAUGUGUAAAUAUAUGGAGGAACACCAGAAGCGUAGGCGGCUUGCUGGGUCUUUACUGACGCUGAGGCACGAAAGCGUGGGUAGCAAACAGGAUUAGAUACCCUGGUAGUCCACGCCGUAAACGAUGAGUACUAAGUGUCGGGGUAAAACUCGGUACUGAAGUUAACACAUUAAGUACUCCGCCUGAGUAGUACGUACGCAAGUAUGAAACUUAAAGGAAUUGACGGGACUCCGCACAAGCGGUGGAUCAUGUUGUUUAAUUCGAAGAUACACGAAAAAUCUUACCAGGUCUUGACAUACUCUGCAAAGCUAUAGAAAUAUAGUGGAGGUUAUCAGGGAUACAGGUGGUGCAUGGUUGUCGUCAGUUCGUGUCGUGAGAUGUUAGGUUAAGUCCUAAAACGAGCGCAACCCUUGUCGUUAAUUGCCAGCACGUAAUGGUGGGGACUUUAGCGAGACUGCCAAUUAAACAUUGGAGGAAGGUGAGGAUUACGUCAAAUCAUCAUGCCCCUUAUGAUCUGGGCUACAAACGUGAUACAAUGGCUGUGACAAAGAGUAGCUGAAACGCGAGUUUUUAGCCAAUCUCAAAAAAGCAGUCUCAGUUCGGAUUGAAGUCUGUAACUCGACUUCAUGAAGUUGGAAUCGCUAGUAAUCGCGAAUCAGCAUGUCGCGGUGAAUACGUUCUCGGGGUUUGUACACACCGCCCGUCA
This 1250-nucleotide ribosomal RNA is filed under the name Candidatus Phytoplasma trifolii. RNAcentral describes it as "bacterial SSU rRNA". It matches the Rfam family "Bacterial small subunit ribosomal RNA", at positions 153 to 1399 of the family's 1533-position model. Lineage: Bacteria; Bacillati; Mycoplasmatota; Mollicutes; Acholeplasmatales; Acholeplasmataceae. The record is from RNAcentral. RNAcentral also lists the same sequence under 1 other name.